Molecule: ribosomal RNA, 708 nt
Filed under: Triticum aestivum (bread wheat)
Lineage: Eukaryota; Viridiplantae; Streptophyta; Magnoliopsida; Poales; Poaceae
Description: partial small subunit ribosomal RNA
Source: RNAcentral
AUGUACACACAGAAUAAGAAGAUGAAUCCCGGGAAAAGCAGCGCCCAGCAGCUAAAACAGCUCAAGGAGGACUUGAUCAAUUUUCAGGCAGAAACAGAUCGAGUUACACAGAAUAUAGUAGUUGACUAUGUAAACACUACUCCUGAGACCGCCAAGUUGGUGAAGAUCAAGGACAUACUUCUAACGCAGAAGUAUCUUAAAUGCCUGACAACACCAGAUCAUUCCUCCUUUGCAGCUUGGGUGGAUGACGAUGUACUCGAUGCGGCGUUUGAACUCCUACGCCUGGACGGACUAGAAGGUGUACGAGACCAUGGUACCGUGUAUGUCGAAAGGUCGACCAUUGUCAACAUCCUAAAGAGAGAUGGCACAGUCCCGAAUUGUACCUUGGAUGUUUUAAGCGGCAAAUCAGGCACUAAAUCGGGAGAUAACUACCUGAAACAUGACAUGAUUUUCCUACCUUCAAAUAUUCCCAACCACCACUGGUUCCUGGCUGUUGUCAACUCCCAAAAGAGGGAGAUUCAAAUUCUGGACUCACUCCAAUCACGCAACAACCGCAAAGAAGUAAUUGCUGCGCUUCUUGGAAUGGAAACACAUAUUGAUAUAGCAGUGAUGGAAAAUAGAAUGCCAGGAAGUAGAUGGCCGGACACUCAAGUGGCUUCGUGGCCUAUCACAGACUAUGAAGUGCCACAGCAAAAAGAUGGGUGUUGA